RNAcentral lists this ribosomal RNA (488 nucleotides) under uncultured bacterium. RNAcentral's name for it is "bacterial SSU rRNA". It matches the Rfam family "Bacterial small subunit ribosomal RNA", at positions 15 to 518 of the family's 1533-position model. The record is from RNAcentral.
GAUCAUGGCUCAGGACGAACGCUGGCGGCGUGCUUAACACAUGCAAGUCGAGCGAUGAAGCUUCUUCGGAAGUGGAUUAGCGGCGGACGGGUGAGUAACACGUGGGUAACCUACCUCAUAGAGGGGAAUAGCCUUCCGAAAGGAAGAUUAAUACCGCAUAAGAUUGUAAUAUCGCAUGAUAUAGCAAUUAAAGGAGCAAUCCGCUAUGAGAUGGACCCGCGUCGCAUUAGCUAGUUGGUGAGGUAACGGCCCACCAAGGCGACGAUGCGUAGCCGACCUGAGAGGGUGAUCGGCCACAUUGGGACUGAGACACGGCCCAGACUCCUACGGGAGGCAGCAGUGGGGAAUAUUGCACAAUGGGGGAAACCCUGAUGCAGCAAACCGCCGCGUGAGUGAUGACGGUCUUCGGAUUGUAAAGCUCUGUCUUCAGGGACGAUAAUGACGGUACCUGAGGAGGAAGCCACGGCUAACUACGUGCCAGCAGCUGC